GUACUGAUGAAGAGUCCCAAAAUAGGACGAAACAGUUGUCCAGUAC
RNAcentral lists this non-coding RNA (46 nucleotides) under Trichobilharzia regenti. The record is from RNAcentral. Lineage: Eukaryota; Metazoa; Platyhelminthes; Trematoda; Strigeidida; Schistosomatidae.